GACGAACGCUGGCGGCGUGCUUAACACAUGCAAGUCGAACGGUAAGGCCCUUCGGGGUACACGAGUGGCGAACGGGUGAGUAACACGUGGGUGAUCUGCCCUGCACUUCGGGAUAAGCCUGGGAAACUGGGUCUAAUACCGGAUAGGACCACUGCCUGCAUGGGUGGUGGUGGAAAGCUUUUGCGGUGUGGGAUGGGCCCGCGGCCUAUCAGCUUGUUGGUGGGGUGAUGGCCUACCAAGGCGACGACGGGUAGCCGGCCUGAGAGGGUGACCGGCCACACUUGGACUGGGAUACGGCCCAGACUCCGACGGGAGGCAGCAGUGGGGAAUAUUGCACAAUGGGCGCAAGCCUGAUGCAGCGACGCCGCGUGAGGGAUGACGGCCUUCGGGUUGUAAACCUCUUUCAGCACCGACGAAGCGCAAGUGACGGUAGGUGCAGAAGAAGGACCGGCCAACUACGUGCCAGCCGCCGCAGUAA
Molecule: ribosomal RNA, 478 nt
Filed under: uncultured bacterium
Lineage: Bacteria
Description: partial 16S ribosomal RNA
Rfam family: Bacterial small subunit ribosomal RNA
Source: RNAcentral